UCGGAAUUACUGGGCGUAAACCGCACGUAGUUUAAGCUUUGUAAGUUAGAGGUGAUAGCCUGGAGCUCACUCCAGAAUUGCCUUUAAGACUGCAUCGCUUGAAUCCAGGAGAGGUGAGUGGAAUUCCGAGUGUAAGGUGAAAUUCGUAGAUAUUCGGAAGAACACCAGUGGCGAAGGCGUCUCACUGGACUGGUAUUGACGCUGAGGUGCGAAAGCGUGGGGAGCAAACAGGAUUAAUACCCUGGUA
Molecule: ribosomal RNA, 247 nt
Filed under: uncultured Sphingomonadales bacterium
Lineage: Bacteria; Pseudomonadati; Pseudomonadota; Alphaproteobacteria; Sphingomonadales
Description: partial 16S ribosomal RNA
Rfam family: Bacterial small subunit ribosomal RNA
Source: RNAcentral